UUUAAUCCAAUCUGAUACCCUGUGUCUUUUGAUUGGAGCAUUAUGUUCAGAGUAACUAUUGUAAGAUAUUAAUUUAGUGCCAUUGUAUUACCUGUAACACUGCUGUUUCUGUAGAUUAUCUCUGUUCCUUCCUGAGCUUUGUUACUUUGGGGCUCUCUUUUCACUCAAAGGAUCCCCUUUAAUAUUUCUUGUGGGGCUGGUUUAGUGUUCAUGAAUUCUUUUAAUUUUUCUUUGUCCUGGAAACUCUUUAUCUCUCCUUCUAUUCUGAAUGGCAGCUUUGCUGGAUAAAGUAUUCUGGGCUGCAUUUUUUUCCCCUUUAGCACAUUGAAUAUAUCAUGCCAGUCCUUUCUGAUCUGCCAGGUCUCGUGGACAAGUCUGUUGCCAGCCUUAUGUUUCUACCCUUAUAGGUUAGAGACCUCUUGUCUCAAGCUACUUUCAUGAUUUUCUCUUUAUCUCUGAAAUUUGCAAGCUUCACUAUUCUGUGUUGGGGUGUUGACCUAUUUUAUUGAUUUUGAGGGGGGUUCUCUGUGCCUCCUGGACUUGAAUGCCUGUUUCCUUCCCCAGAUUAGGGAAGUUCUCAGCUGUAAUUUGUGUUCAAAUAAGCCUCCUGCCCCCCUUCAUCUUCUGGGACCCCUAUUAUUUGAAUAUUAUUUCACUCUGUGGUCUCACUGAUUUCUCAAAGUCUCCCUUUGUGAUCCAGUACUUGUUUCUCUCUUUUUCUCAGCUUCCUUGGUUUCCAUCAUUUGAUCUUCUAUAUCACUGACACUCUCUUCUGCCUUGUUUAUCCAGGCUGUGAGACCUUCUCUUUUUAACUGCAUCUCAAUAAUAGCAUUUUUUAUAUUCACCCGAUUAGAUUUUAAUUCUUUUAUUUCUACAAUAAGGGAUUCUCUGCUGUCUUCUAUGCUUUUUUCCAAGCAUAUUUCUUUAUAAUCAUUGUUUUGAAUUUCACUGCAACAUCUUACUUAUAUCCAUAUUGAUUAAAUCCCUGGCAGCAAGUAGUACUUUCUCCUGUCCUUUCUUUUGGGGUGAGUGAGUUUCUCCAUCUCAAAAUUAUGUCCAAAAAGAAUAGAAGAAAGAGAGAGAAAGACAAAAAUAACAACAGCAUCACCAGAAAAUACAAACAGGACUAACCAGAAGAAAACAGAAACAAAACGAAAUAAGAAACCAAACAAGAAGUAAAACAAACAAAACAAUAAACUAGAUCCUGGGUAUGUUUUGGCUUGUUUGUUAAGAGAAACUAGAUCUCAAACUAGGAAAGAAAGGAAAACAUAUAAGUAUAUAUGUUUAUACAUACAGACUCCAAAAUACAGUAAAAUACAAUGAAAGGAAAACAAAAACUAAAAAUGUAUAUAUUAAAACAAUUUUAAAGACUUGAACAGAGAAUUGGAAAAAUAAGAAACUAGCUGAAAAACAAUAAAACCAAAAGAUUAAAGAAUAAUUUUUUAAAACCAUGAAUGAUAUAUCCUGUUUUCCGCAAAAGCUGAACUUUUGCAAUCUCUAUGAUCGGUAAACUUGGUGCUAAUGAGUUGUUCCUGCUGGUCUUCUGGGGGAGGGGCCUAUUGCACUGAUUCUCAGGUGUCCUUGCCUGGGUAGAAUUGCACCCCCCUUACCAGGGGGCUGGGCUCAGCAUAAGCAACUCUGGAUUACACUAUGUGACUCAAUCACUCUUGUCUCCCUGGUUUUCAUCCGAACUCUUUGUUCACCCAGCCUGUGACCGAGUGUUUUAUCUCAGGCACAUGACCCAGUUUUGAGUCUCCAAAUGUUAUGGACUCCCAUGGCACAGACCCACGCCAUUCCUCCCAAGAAAGGGGCGGGGGUGUCUGGCCCAGCUUCCGCCUUUUGCUGGGCCCCUGCCCAGGGCACAAAAGUAGGACCGUGCAGCAGUUCACAGUUUAUGACAACACACAGCAGAAAGCCAGCUCCUGGACUCGCUGCUUUCAGCCAGCUUCCGAGCUCCCAUGUCUGGAAACUCUGCCACACUCAGGCGCCUCCGUUCUUCUGGUGACCCCGGGGAUCCUGAGGCCAUGCUGUCCGACCUGGUUUUCCACCCUGCUUCUCCACCUGAGCACCCUCAAGCCAGGGGUGUCCUCUAUUGUAGCAGACUUCUAAAAGUUCUGAUUUUGUGCCCUACUGCUUAUAAUACUUUGCGGUAGCCUCCUCACGCAAGUUCCCACCCCUCUGCCCUAUAUCUUCCCAUGUAUUGCCCCGGAUCACGUCUCCUCACCUCUUACCUUCCAAAAAGUGGUCACUUUUCUGUUUGUAGAAUUGCAGCAAUUCUUUUCUCAGAUCUCUGGUUGAUUUUGCAGGUGUUCAGAAAGAUUUGGUAACUAUCUAGCUGAAUUCCAGGGACCAGACAAAAAUUAAGGUCCCCUACUCCUCUGCCAUCUUAACUCCUCCUCUGUGAUUUCCUUUGGAUGAGGUUCCUCAAAUAGUCAAGUUCAUGGAGGCAGAGUAGAAUAGAGCUCUACUAGAAUAGGGCUGGGGGAAAGAGUAACGGGGAAGUUAUUGUCUAAUGGGUGCAGAGUUUCAGUUUGGCAUGAUGACAGGUUCUGGAAAUGGAUGGUGCUGAUGACCACACAACAGUGUGAAUGUACAUAAUGCCACCGACCUGUACACUUAAAAAUGGCCAGGAUGGUUAGUUUUAUGUUAUGUAUAUUUGACUGAGGGAGCAAAACAGCUGUAUAUGUGCAGCACCAGUGCAGUAAUCAUCAGUUUCUCCAUAGAAAUCACCUGUGUGCCAUUGCCAGUCACAAAGCCUCCUGCUUCAGAGAUAAUCAUGAUCCUGUCUCUUAUGAGGAACUUCAUUCAAAUAGCCUGUCCUGACCUUUGUUUCCUGCCUUCAACCUCUUCUUGCAGUCAUAGGACAGCAACUAAAAAACAAAGUUCAUUCAACUUACAACUUGCAUAUUUGCUAAAUUUUUCUAAAGUUUGAUGCAUUAGAAGAGGGACUCAGCAAGUGUAUCAUCAGGGACUGAUGCUCAGGAACUUCCCUGAGACUCAGAACACUCAACAUGAAGCAACACUGCACCCGAGCAAGGUUUUGGCAAGUGGCAUUCAUAGAAGUUACCCUCCUAUUUUAAAGUCCUUCACUUGGUCAACAUUUACUGAGCACCUACAGUGAGCUGGGACCUCAGAGCUGAAUAAGAUAAAACCUGACACUCCAUGACGUCAGGAUGUAAUAGGGGGAAAGGCACUUUCAUUGGUAACAAGUACACAGUCUGGUGGGUUCACGAUAGUGAUCAAGCACCCGUCUGGUAUGGCUUUAGUUUCCUCAGAGUCACUGAGGAAGAAGCCAUGUUGUGGGCACAUAAAGGACAUAUCGAUUGUCUUUAAAGUCACUUGUCACUUUUUUUUUUUUUUUUUUUGAAGGAAGGGCUCAUGAAGCAGUGGGGAAUGUAGAUUCAGUUGUACAUUGGGCAAGACACCUGUUGCUAACUCUAGAGCAGAACUCUUUGGGGUCUGUUUCCUCUUUUAGAAGAUGGAGGUCUCAGAGGACAGAUGGGAGGAUAAAAUUAAGACAACAAAUGUGAAGUGUUUAGCACAGUGUCUUGGAUAGAAUGGGAUUCUUAUUGUUAUAUAUGCUUUAUGAUCUCUCUACAUAGAUUUACCAAUUUUAUGUGUUACCUAUAAUUUGAGAGUUUCCCAUGGUUUACCAGUGAGUAAAUAUCACCUUUAAUAUAGAAAUUAAGAAAUCAAGAGAAUAAACAAAAGUCAAACAUGAAUUCAACACUGUGUAUAUGUCCCCUGGCCUCUGUUGCCCAGACUACCCCAUACAGCUGGAUCCCUGAUUCAGCUGCAGCCUGUUCCAGUGAGCCUCAAUAUAGAAAAAUCCCCAAUUACUAAGCUGCAUCAGAACUGAAGUGAUGCUUCAUCCAAACAUUGUCUUUUAUUUAUUUCAACUUACCUCUAUUUCAUGAAUAGAAACUGUCAUGGCAAAUUAGAGUACUCAAAAGAUAAUGUUCCUAAAAUAAUGCAUUUAUGUGACUUGGUUGAAUAAUCUCAGGAUAGUAAUAAUAUAGGUACAAUAAUUGUGUCAAACAAUGUAGAUGGAAGAUGGUAUGCCCUGAAAAAUAAUUUUAGCUCAGAAAUUGACCCAAGUGACGCAAGAUAUUUAUAGCAAUGAUUCAUGAGAAGAGCUUAAAUAAAAUGGU
Molecule: long non-coding RNA, 4151 nt
Organism: Canis lupus familiaris (dog)
Lineage: Eukaryota; Metazoa; Chordata; Mammalia; Carnivora; Canidae
Exons: 4
Source: RefSeq, a predicted model, not a curated record